This is a long non-coding RNA of Bos taurus (domestic cattle), 487 nucleotides long. The record is from Ensembl. NCBI's taxonomy places the organism in Eukaryota, Metazoa, Chordata, Mammalia, Artiodactyla, Bovidae.
CUGUCCUUUCUUUGAGGUACCUCAGGUUUGCACUUGAAUUUAUGAGAAUAAAUACCCAUGUGAUUCCUUAGUUUGGUACUGAAAUCCUACCUUUGGAAGAAAAGACGUUACAGCUGUUGAUUCUGUUUCAGAAUGAAUUACGGUGACAAACUGUGUUUUCUGCAUCACUGAUUCUCUUGACUAUUAGAUAUUCAUAUUUACUGUGGAGUUCUUAGGUGGAUUGUCUCACCAUGUAUUUAUGAGCUUUUAAUCCAGGACCUGGUCAGCGUGUGAAUAACUGAGGAUGGCCCCUUGCUAUGCCGGCACAUCAGGAGCCACUGCAGGUGGAGAAGAAGAGUGGAAUUCUGAGAGGCCAUCCAUUCCUUCCUGUGGGCCAUGAGAUGCUGCCAGAAAGAGUGUGUGCUCCUGCUCCAGGCUCGCCUGAGCACCUCCUGAUUUGUGCUGCCUCUUCAGAUCAGGGCCGACGCUCCCAGGCUCCAUGUGUGUG